This 371-nucleotide ribosomal RNA is filed under the name Shigella boydii. Its description in RNAcentral is "partial 23S ribosomal RNA". It matches the Rfam family "Bacterial large subunit ribosomal RNA", at positions 1 to 399 of the family's 2925-position model. The record is from RNAcentral. Lineage: Bacteria; Pseudomonadati; Pseudomonadota; Gammaproteobacteria; Enterobacterales; Enterobacteriaceae.
GGGUUGUGAGGUUAAGCGACUAAGCGUACACGGUGGAUGCCCUGGCAGUCAGAGGCGAUGAAGGACGUGCUAAUCUGCGAUAAGCGUCGGUAAGGUGAUAUGAACCGUUAUAACCGGCGAUUUCCGAAUGGGGAAACCCAGUGUGAUUCGUUACACUAUCAUUAACUGAAUCCAUAGGUUAAUGAGGCGAACCGGGGGAACUGAAACAUCUAAGUACCCCGAGGAAAAGAAAUCAACCGAGAUUCCCCCAGUAGCGGCGAGCGAACGGGGAGCAGCCCAGAGCCUGAAUCAGUGUGUGUGUUAGUGGAAGCGUCUGGAAAGGCGUGCGAUACAGGGUGACAGCCCCGUACACAAAAAUGCACAUAUUGUGA